RNAcentral lists this unclassified non-coding RNA (1219 nucleotides) under Rhizobium leguminosarum. RNAcentral describes it as "partial contains 16S ribosomal RNA, 16S-23S ribosomal RNA intergenic spacer, and 23S ribosomal RNA". The stretch from base 321 to 394 matches the Rfam family "tRNA". The record is from RNAcentral. Lineage: Bacteria; Pseudomonadati; Pseudomonadota; Alphaproteobacteria; Hyphomicrobiales; Rhizobiaceae.
GGUAAGACGAUCGGCACAUGUCCUCGGACAUGGCCCGAUAUGAACCUUCCCGUGCUUUUUAGAACAUAGAUGGCACCAGUCAGGUGACUAUCGAAACGUAAUACGCCGCGAUGACUUCGGUCACGACGGUAUGGCGAGCUUUCGCCGUCCACGUUUCUCUUUCUUCAAAAGGAUAUCGAACCAUUGGUUUGCGCUCGCGCGCUGUUCGCACCUUCGGUGCUGCGCUCCGCGGGGGCGCCGGACGACCGGCGACGGCCUCUGGCCUGUAUGGGCGACCCUUUCCGAGGUUUUGCUUGGGAUUGGCGUCGACGCAGAGAGAUGGGCCCGUAGCUCAGUUGGUUAGAGCACACGCUUGAUAAGCGUGGGGUCGGAAGUUCAAGUCUUCCCGGGCCCACCAUUUGCACGAGCAAAUGAGGUUUGCUGGUGCGAAUUGUGGUUUGUUUGGGUUUACCUGAUCCUGGCGGUUUGCUGUCAGGUGUUUGCGAUGGUUGGGGCUGUAGCUCAGCUGGGAGAGCACCUGCUUUGCAAGCAGGGGGUCAGCGGUUCGAUCCCGCUCAGCUCCACCAAUUCGCUUGGUGUCGAGACUGAGAGAUAUCCUUUGAAGAAAUAAAAGUUUUGCAUCGGCUUAUGGCUGAUGCGUGUUCUGCAUACAUUGUGAAGAGAAGAUUGAUCUGGAGGCUUCCAGGUGUUUUGGGUUUUGCCCAAGGCGUCCGAGCCCGAUCCUUAUGAUAUCGUCGAUGGCCUAGCCGGCCGGACGCGAUGGAGGGAUCGGAGGUAGGAAGGAAGCUUGUCGCUCUGGGUCGUUGUUGUUUGCUGUCUUUAGGGACGGCAUCUGACGGACGACUUGAUUACCGUUGCCUGACCGCGCGGUAUCGGAUCCAAUCUCGAGAAGCUGGUCUUAAGACAGGCUGCAAGCGAGCUGCUCGGCGUAGCUCCAAUAAAGCAGACCUGUCGAACACGUUAAUGGCAUCAUGAAACGAUCCGGUUGUAAAAGGUAACCGGAUUUUUGGACUGGCCGCACGGCAAUCGCAAGGUUGUCCGGAUGGUCAGAUUUGGCACCCACGAGGCGUAUGCCGAGUGAUAAGGUCUGCCAAAUCCAAAUAUGGAUGAGCAUUGGCAAUGAGAACGAUUAAGUGUCGUAAGGGCAUUUGGUGGAUGCCUUGGCAUGCACAGGCGAUGAAGGACGUGAUACGCUGCGAAAAGCCGUGGGAGCUGCGAA